Molecule: ribosomal RNA, 427 nt
Filed under: uncultured bacterium
Lineage: Bacteria
Description: partial 16S ribosomal RNA
Rfam family: Bacterial small subunit ribosomal RNA
Source: RNAcentral
GUGGGGAAUAUUGGGCAAUGGGCGAAAGCCUGACCCAGCAACGCCGCGUGAGGGAAGAAGGUUUUCGGAUCGUAAACCUCUGUCCUUAGUGAAGAGAAAGAGACGGUAGCUAAGGAGGAAGCCCCGGCUAACUACGUGCCAGCAGCCGCGGUAAUACGUAGGGGGCGAGCGUUGUCCGGAAUGAUUGGGCGUAAAGGGCGCGUAGGCGGCCUGUUAAGUCCGGAGUGAAAUUCCUGCUUUCAAGGUAGGAAGUGCUUGGGAAACUGGCGGGCUGGAGUGCAGGAGAGGUUAGCGGAAUUCCCGGUGUAGCGGUGAAAUGAGUAGAGAUCGGGAGGAACACCAGUGGCGAAGGCGGCUAACUGGACUGUAACUGACGCUGAUGCGCGAAAGUGUGGGGAGCAAACAGGAUUAGAUACCCGAGUAGUCC